UACGUAGGGCGCAAGCGUUGUCCGGAAUUACUGGGCGUAAAGGGCUCGUAGGCGGCCAACUAAGUCAGACGUGAAAUCCCUCGGCUUAACCGGGGAACUGCGUCUGAUACUGGAUGGCUUGAGUUUGGGAGAGGGAUGCGGAAUUCCAGGUGUAGCGGUGAAAUGCGUAGAUAUCUGGAGGAACACCGGUGGCGAAGGCGGCAUCCUGGACCAACACUGACGCUGAGUGAGCGAAAGCCAGGGGAGCAAACGGG
This 254-nucleotide ribosomal RNA is filed under the name uncultured bacterium. RNAcentral describes it as "partial 16S ribosomal RNA". It matches the Rfam family "Bacterial small subunit ribosomal RNA", at positions 524 to 776 of the family's 1533-position model. The record is from RNAcentral.